Alosa sapidissima (American shad) is the source of this 452-nucleotide long non-coding RNA. RefSeq lists it as uncharacterized. Lineage: Eukaryota; Metazoa; Chordata; Actinopteri; Clupeiformes; Clupeidae. The transcript is spliced from 2 exons. The record is from RefSeq and is a predicted model, not a curated record.
CAUAGACUGUAAAAAAUAUGGACAAAGCGUCUGUGACGUCACCCAUAGAUUUUCUGAAGAACGGUUAUGAAGCCGUUUAUGGGCGGCGCCAUCUUGGAAAACCUUGGGAAAUCCUAACCCCGCCCACCUCCUGAGCAAGCCGGUGAACCCGCCUCGUCGUCAGCCGAGCAGCCUCAGCUAAGCUAUCUGUAACGUUAGGCCUACAAGAUGGACUGGCACAGACGUUGCUGAAACAUAAUUUGCUGUUCGCCAUGGGGAGGAGGCGGCAAGGAGGUCCAUGGGCUCUAACCUAUUGAUGGACUGUUACACCUACCCUUUACUUAUGCCAAACCCAUUUCUGUUCUUUAAAUAUCAGAAUGCAAACUUACUGUUGAUGGCACUGAACUUGCACUUGGAAAUGUUUAUGGAACUUUUCUGAACUGUGAAUUACAUUAAAACUCAUGCCAAACCAA